Molecule: transfer RNA, 69 nt
Filed under: Ictidomys tridecemlineatus (thirteen-lined ground squirrel)
Lineage: Eukaryota; Metazoa; Chordata; Mammalia; Rodentia; Sciuridae
Description: Spermophilus tridecemlineatus (thirteen-lined ground squirrel) tRNA
Rfam family: tRNA
About the family: Transfer RNA (tRNA) molecules are approximately 80 nucleotides in length. Their secondary structure includes four short double-helical elements and three loops (D, anti-codon, and T loops).
Source: Rfam by way of RNAcentral
GGAGUUGUGGCUCAGUGAUAGAGCACUCGCCUAGCACACGUGAUACACUGGGUUCAAUUCUCAGCACCA